GCAUUAAUGGGGUAGUGGUAACCUGGGUCGUUGCCAUCUGAUGGGCAUAGCAGUCUCUCGACCCGCCGGGGGUUCGAUUCCCUCUUAAUGCA
This is a non-coding RNA of Marasmius tenuissimus, 92 nucleotides long. The record is from the annotation of a GenBank genome assembly. NCBI's taxonomy places the organism in Eukaryota, Fungi, Basidiomycota, Agaricomycetes, Agaricales, Marasmiaceae.